UUUAAUUUUUUCUCAACGAAGAACUGUAUAAAUAGGUCUAAUGAGCCUUGAGGGCUCUCAUUUGCUUUCACAGUUUCUAGCAAGCUGGGAAAUCUCAGGGCGCACUUGCCCUCCUGGGCUCUGCGCCUCCCACCAGGCCGGCACCGCCUUCACUCUGAGGGCGCUGGGCCCUGGGGAGGGAGGGUUUUCUCAUUCAGAGGCUCACAUUUGGGAAUGUUUAGUUAAGAUGAUUUUUUUUCUUUAUACUUAUGAUAAUCUGCAUAAUCUUUUGUUUGUAUAGCUGGCAAAGUGCUCUCCAGAUAAAGAGAAGGACAUAGUUAAAAUAUAUGAAUAGAAGAGUAAGAUUAGCUGGGAACAUCAGCUGGCUGGGAAGGAGAUCUGCCCCGCCAGCAAGCCAGCUUCAGCUCCUGCCUCCCCCAGAUUCUCCUUCCUUUAUUAGAUUAGCCAAGUGAUGCUCACAAUGGUGAAGAAACAGCUCACAGACAGGAAAAGGCAAAGUCUUCCUUGAACUCAGAUGGUCUUGCUCUGCUGGUAAUGCCGUUUCCACUGUGCUGUCCUCUGAAAAGAACUGUCAGUUGGUAACACAACAAUGGUUCACUCAUCAACAGAUCUGUUGUAUGAACUUUUUUUUUUUUUGCAGUUUUUGGCUGGGGCUGGGUUUGAACCCGUCACCUCUGGCAUAUGUUGCCAGCGUCCUACUCCUUUGAGCCACAGGUGCCCCCCUGUAUGAACUUCUUAAAAGUCUAGCUCUGGUGAUAUUGGGAAACAUCAACAGAGGAGAAACAGAGGACAGAUUCAGAAGGACGUAAUGUUAUUUCUUCUCAAGGAAAACAAAUAGUCUCCAGUGGAAAGAAAAGAAAGAGAGAGAGAAACCAAAUAGAGAUGGAGAAAGAAAGAAAGACAAAGAAGGAAGGCAUACAGUGUGCAGGAAUGUAUUUUUACUGGUUUUGUAGUAAGUCUGAAUGCAAGUAAUUGGGGAGUCAAGGUCUUCCCCACCAAUCAUCAGGCAAGUCUCCUGGAUGGUUCCACUUGUGGCUGCACCUUAGCUGAAGGUGCCAUGGUCUAUCAAGGCAUUUCUGCUUCCCAGGCUUACUUUUCCUCCCUCUCUAGGACUUGUUUCCUGCCCACGGUCAUAGAGUUCUUCUAAAUCUCCCCCAAAUCAUUCAUGAGAACUGACUUCUCCACUGGAGACUGGUCUCACUCUGUUACCUGGGCUGAAAUGCAAGGAUGUCAUCACAGCUCACUGCAACCUCAAAGUUCUGGGUUCGCGUGAUCCUCCUUCCUGUGCCUCCCGAGCAGCUGGGACUUACAAGCACAUGCCCCCAGGUCUGGCUGAUGUUUUAUAAAUUAGUUUUUAGAGAUGGGAUCUUACCACACUGCCCAGGCUGAUCUCAAAAUAGUGGACUCGAGAGAUUCUCCCACCUGAGCCUCCCCAAACUGGGAUUAUGGGCAUAAACCACUGCUCCUGGCCCUGUAGUCCUUUCUUUUAAUGCAUGUACUGUGGUUAAGAGAAACAGGUCAAGUCAGUUAUAUUUUAAUGUUAGUGUUAUUGAAGGCUCAUUGCUGCUAACAAAGGGAGGGCUGGGGCAACCUAGAGCACCAGACAAGGGGUGAGCCGAGACACCGAAGGGAGAACAGACCAUGACCAGAGAGAGAAGGAUCCAGAGUCACACUUGGCCAACUUCAGAAUUUUGCCCUUAUCUUGCCCUGGGAUUAAGCAGAAAUAUUUCAGCAUAUCAUUUUUUCACAUGUAGGAAUUCUUUGGUGAAAUUUAACAUAGUGGCUGUACCGACUCUGAACAAUCCUUUCAUUUAGCUUUUAUAAUUCUUUUGAUUCCCCUGGGACACUCAAAGGUUAAGUGAUUUGCUUAGGUUUCUCCGAAUGGGCCUUGUAAAGAAUUUUAGAACUGAAUAGAUUGGAGGCAGGUCUUCUGACACCCAGCUCAAUGUUUUCCUAAUGGCCUUUCCUUGUAGUUUCAAAAGCUACCCAUAGGUUUUUACUCCAGUGUAAAUUCUCCCUCCAAAAGCUUAUAUUGCUGGUGAGGGGUUGUCGCAGCAUUUAUUUCCUUAGUAAGCCUUUCGUAAUUUUGCUUAGUUACUGUUACCAGUUUUCUAAACUUGGAUCAGCUUUUUUCCUUUAUACAUCCCUCUUUUGUAUUUUAUACUUUUAAAAGUGUUCAUAGACCCCAGAAUCCGGCAACACUUGGCAAACGUGCUUUCUCUGUACCUCACCUCCACAUGUGUUAGUAAAUUGCAAAUUGCUGCUGAUUUUUACCUGUUAGUUUUUAAGAAAAACUUGUUAACCAUUCAUGAAUACUUUCUUGGCAAUACAAAUGAAUAAA
Molecule: long non-coding RNA, 2341 nt
Organism: Nycticebus coucang (slow loris)
Lineage: Eukaryota; Metazoa; Chordata; Mammalia; Primates; Lorisidae
Exons: 4
Source: RefSeq, a predicted model, not a curated record